Dermacentor andersoni is the source of this 584-nucleotide non-coding RNA. The record is from RefSeq and is a predicted model, not a curated record. Lineage: Eukaryota; Metazoa; Arthropoda; Arachnida; Ixodida; Ixodidae.
CGGUUGUACCAAGAUAUUGACAGUUGAGGUAUGAACUACAAACUAUCAGUGGUUACUACCUUGGCGUUCAUGGCAGCUAUUCUGCUCACUGCUGUAAGUGCCCACAAGCGGGAAAAAACUCUGAGAUUUGCUAACGGGAAAUGUCACUAUAAUGGACAUACUAUCUCCGAUGGGAACUCGUUAUGGCCAUCGGACUGCACGCUACUUUUAUGCAAUGCAGCCGGACAACAUAUGAUUCUUUACGGGUGUCCUCCACCAUACGAUUACGAGGCAGAAACUUCCCCGAAUGAGAAUGAUUGGCCCAACUGCUGCUAUGAGAAUAAAUAGUGGAGUCUUCAACCUGCUACUAUUCCAUUUGCAAGAUUUUUGGCAACGAGAUGACUACUGAUUAUUUCACAAUAAAAGACCAAGCUGACUGCGCAAAUAACCCAGCUUGCACAAAAGAGAUAUAAUCAUUCAUAUUCAUGGAUACUUCGACUUGACCGUCCAAAAUCGAGAUUGAAAAAGUGAACAUCCAGAAGAAUUCAAUCAACCCGAAAAUUCGGCAAUAAGGCGGGUGAUGGAAGACGAUUAAAAUUGUGCGU